AACGCACAUUGCGCCCGCCAGCACUCUGGCGGGCAUGCCUGUUCGAGCGUCAUUUCAACCCUCGGGCCACGUCUUGUUUGGCCCGGUGUUGGGGUGCUACUGUCCGGCGGAUCAGUAGGCCCUUAAAACCAGUGGCGGGCUCGCCAGGACUCCGAGCGCAGUAGUUCUCCUCUCGCUCAGGCGGCCUGGCGUGCUUCGGCCGUUAAAAGAAAAACACGUCUGUGUCCUGCAGACAUGAGGUUGACCUCGGAUCAGGUAGGAAUACCCGCUGAACUUAA
This 278-nucleotide unclassified non-coding RNA is filed under the name uncultured fungus. Its description in RNAcentral is "partial contains 5.8S ribosomal RNA, internal transcribed spacer 2, and large subunit ribosomal RNA". The record is from RNAcentral. Lineage: Eukaryota; Fungi.